UUAAGUUCAGCGGGUAGCCCUACCUGAUUUGAGACCAGAGUUCAAGAAUUGUCCGAAGACGAUUAGAAGCGUACUUCUCAAGCCGACACCAGCGAAACUUAUUACGCCAGAUAGACAAGUUAAACACGCUAACUCCUUUAAGAGGAGCCAUUUAGAAUGGCAACCUCCAAAUCCAAGCCAUUAAGAAACCCUAAUGGUUG
Molecule: unclassified non-coding RNA, 200 nt
Filed under: Trichosporon sp.
Lineage: Eukaryota; Fungi; Basidiomycota; Tremellomycetes; Trichosporonales; Trichosporonaceae
Description: partial internal transcribed spacer 2
Source: RNAcentral